This 496-nucleotide ribosomal RNA is filed under the name uncultured bacterium. RNAcentral describes it as "partial 16S ribosomal RNA". It matches the Rfam family "Bacterial small subunit ribosomal RNA", at positions 28 to 506 of the family's 1533-position model. The record is from RNAcentral.
GAUGAACGCUGGCGGCGUGCCUAAUACAUGCAAGUCGAGCGAACGGACGAGAAGCUUGCUUCUCUGAUGUUAGCGGCGGACGGGUGAGUAACACGUGGAUAACCUACCUAUAAGACUGGGAUAACUUCGGGAAACCGGAGCUAAUACCGGAUAAUAUUUUGAACCGCAUGGUUCAAAAGUGAAAGACGGUCUUGCUGUCACUUAUAGAUGGAUCCGCGCUGCAUUAGCUAGUUGGUAAGGUAACGGCUUACCAAGGCAACGAUGCAUAGCCGACCUGAGAGGGGGAUCGGCCACACGGGAACUGAGACACGGUCCAGACUCCUACGGGAGGCAGCAGUAGGGAAUCUUCCGCAAUGGGCGAAAGCCUGACGGAGCAACGCCGCGUGAGUGAUGAAGGUCUUCGGAUCGUAAAACUCUGUUAUUAGGGAAGAACAUAUGUGUAAGUAACUGUGCACAUCUUGACGGUACCUAAUCAGAAAGCCACGGCUAACUACGU